CACAUAAGGGAACGAUUUCGUUCCCCUACGCUUCACUUCGCUCUCUCUCUGUCUCCCCGCGAUUGGGGCUUCGAAACCCUAAGCCGCUCUUUCAGAAAUAAGAUUUAUGGCUUUGCACUGUUUUGGCCUUUCGAAGGACCACAUGUUCUGAUUCGGAUGUCGUUUCAUAGCUGGCUGUACGAUUCUAAUCCUUUCGACGCAGAGGAAGUCGCAAUGUUUGUAGUACAGAAAUUUGCAUGGUUUUAGCCACAUUGUAACAUAUGGGAGACAAUAGGAGAAUGGCAGAUGGAAUUUCAAGUUUCUGGGGUCCUGUCACAUCCUCCACUGAAUGGUGUGAAAAGAACUAUGCGUACUCUUCCUAUAUUGCAGAAUUCUACAACACUAUAUCCAACAUCCCAUGCGUUAUUUUGGCACUAAUAGGCUUAAUAAAUGCCUUAAGACAGCAUUUUGAGAAGAGAUUGAGCAUUCUUCACCUAUCAAAUAUGAUACUAGCUAUUGGGAGCAUGCUAUUCCAUGCCACAUUGCAACACAUGCAACAACAAAGCGACGAAACUCCAAUGGUCUGGGAAAUGCUCCUGUACCUUUAUAUCCUAUACUCCCCUGAUUGGCACUAUCGUAGUACAAUGCCCACCUUCUUCUUCCUCUAUGGGGCUAUUUUUGCAAUUUUUCAUUCACAGGUCCGUUUUAGCACUGGUUUCAAGGUUCAUUAUGCAAUCCUCUGCCUGCUGUGCAUCCCAAGGAUGUACAAGUAUUACAUUUACACACAGAAUGUCUCUGCUAAGCGGGUUGCAAAGUUGUAUGUGAUCACCCUAUUCCUUGGUAGUUUGUGUUGGCUGUUUGAUCGUGUACUCUGCAGGAAAGUGUCACAUUGGCCCUUCAAUCCUCAAGGCCACGCAUUGUGGCAUAUUUUCAUGGGUUUUAACUCAUACUUCGCAAACAUAUUCUUGAUGUAUUGCCGUGCUCAGCAACGGGAAUGGGCACCAAGGAUUGUCUAUUUUUUGGGGGUUCUUCCUUAUGUGAAGGUCCAGAAACCAAAAUCCCUGUGAAAAAUAGGUUACAGGGGUCAAGGAUAGUCUUUUCACAGUUAUUGGGGUAUUGAAGAGAUCUUAGGCGACAGAACAAGCAGGCAAGCAAUCAUUUUUGUUUUCAUCUGAUUAGAUUCAGUCAUAUUCAUUGGGUACUGCUUACUGUUGCUUCUGGAGUUGCUUAUAUCACACUGGUAAAUUGGGAUAUGCGAAUAUUUGCUUUUUGCAUAUAGUUUACUGUGAGCAUAAGCUGCUGCAACAUAUAUGGGUUCAGUUUAUCGCAUGCAAUACUAGUAAAUUUAUGAGGUAUAUGUGGGUAAUCUGGGUUCUUUUUCCAUCCCAAGUGUGUAGUUAAGAGCAGUAGUGUUUGGAUGACAACAAUAUUGAAAUGGGUCCUUUACAACCAUUAAAGAUAAGUAGGGCCCGCUGUUGCAUUCAUGUUUGUUGGGCUUGAAAUGUAGGAUUGGGCUGGGACACUCUCAUGCCCAAUAUAGUUAACAAGAAUUUUUUAAUGAAGCGACCAAUUUAUUUUACAUAUUUAACACAUA
RNA transcript from Diospyros lotus (date-plum), 1573 nucleotides. It is a transcript of the gene named alkaline ceramidase, with no coding region annotated. The record is from RefSeq and is a predicted model, not a curated record. NCBI's taxonomy places the organism in Eukaryota, Viridiplantae, Streptophyta, Magnoliopsida, Ericales, Ebenaceae. The transcript has 4 exons.